This 468-nucleotide ribosomal RNA is filed under the name uncultured bacterium. RNAcentral's name for it is "partial 16S ribosomal RNA". It matches the Rfam family "Bacterial small subunit ribosomal RNA", at positions 28 to 507 of the family's 1533-position model. The record is from RNAcentral.
GACGAACGCUGGCGGCGUGCUUAACACAUGCAAGUCGAACGGAAAGGCCCUGCUUUUGUGGGGUGCUCGAGUGGCGAACGGGUGAGUAGCACGUGAGUAACCUGCCCUUGACUUUGGGAUAACUACAGGAAACUGGGGCUAAUACCGGAUAGGAGCUCCUGCUGCAUGGUGGGGGUUGGAAAGUUUCGGCGGUUGGGGAUGGACUCGCGGCUUAUCAGCUUGUUGGUGGGGUAGUGGCUUACCAAGGCUUUGACGGGUAGCCGGCCUGAGAGGGUGACCGGCCACAUUGGGACUGAGAUACGGCCCAGACUCCUACGGGAGGCAGCAGUGGGGAAUAUUGCACAAUGGGCGGAAGCCUGAUGCAGCAACGCCGCGUGCGGGAUGACGGCCUUCGGGUUGUAAACCGCUUUCGCCUGUGACGAAGCGUGAGUGACGGUAAUGGGUAAAGAAGCACCGGCUAACUACGUG